ACUCCUACCGGAGGCAGCAGUGGGGAAUAUUGCACAAUGGGCGAAAGCCUGAUGCAGCAACGCCGCGUGAGGGACGAAGGCCUUCGGGUUGUAAACCUCUUUUAGUAGGGAAGAAGCGAAAGUGACGGUACCUGCAGAAAAAGCACCGGCUAACUACGUGCCAGCAGCCGCGGUAAUACGUAGGGUGCAAGCGUUGUCCGGAAUUAUUGGGCGUAAGGAGCUCGUAGG
RNAcentral lists this ribosomal RNA (228 nucleotides) under uncultured bacterium. RNAcentral's name for it is "partial 16S ribosomal RNA". It matches the Rfam family "Bacterial small subunit ribosomal RNA", at positions 335 to 575 of the family's 1533-position model. The record is from RNAcentral.